Long non-coding RNA from Mauremys mutica (yellowpond turtle), 902 nucleotides. RefSeq lists it as uncharacterized. NCBI's taxonomy places the organism in Eukaryota, Metazoa, Chordata, Testudines, Geoemydidae. The transcript is spliced from 3 exons. The record is from RefSeq and is a predicted model, not a curated record.
CUGUACCCAGUGUCGAGUUCUCCUGUGGAGGGGACAUAGCUCUGCAGUGUUCAUGGGAAAGGUGCCAACUGACAGUGCUGUUAAAAGUCCCAUGGCUGCAUCCUAGCAAAUCAAAGGCCAGAUUCAGCACUAUGACUUGACUGCUUUGUACUGCUCCAGGCAGCGCAAUUGUCAGUUUGGCGUCACUGACUGGGCUGCUCUGGCCUCUUUGUGCUUGCUCCAGAGUUCUGCAAAGCAGCACACACUGGUGAACUGGGGGUUAUGGAUUGGGAGAUGCCCUGUGAUGAUGUAUGACGACUGGCCUGGUUACUGGGGUUUUUCUGUAUCCAUAUAGUGAUUUAAUUCAACAGGAACCUGACUGGAAAAACAGUCAGGAGGCAAAAGAAUGGCUCAAGAUAAGCCAGCCCUGAGCAAACACUUGAGAGUUGUUAAGGGCAAUGGCACAGCCAUUGGCUUCGAGGACCCUCCCUCAAUCUCCUGCUGAGUCCACAGUACUGGUUUUGACCAGAAGGGUCAAAGGCUGGGAACAAAGAAGAACAGAAGAACUAAUGCAGGGUUUAUAAGUGACUCUUCCUCCAGAGAGGGGCAACUGUUGUCCAGCUGAACCAGACUGAGCCACAGGACCCCACUGGGGGUGCCUGAAGAAGUUAGACCUGCCUGGGUUACCUCACAGAAUGGUAGGAUUUCAGCCUCCCAGCUCUCUUCAAGCAGGACCCGUGCACCAUCACUGGACAGGCUGGCUAUUCAUCCUGAUCUCAGCAGGAGGUGAAGCGGCCACUGACGAAGCCUUUGGGAAGAGAGUACUUUGUUUUUUCUAACCCUUCUGAAUUAUGUGUGCCUGGUGUGAGGAGUGUCAUUAACUCUAGCAGCAGGAGUGGAUAUUCUGCCAGUGUGUGUGUGGG